Homo sapiens (human) is the source of this 1590-nucleotide long non-coding RNA. Ensembl annotates it as long intergenic non-protein coding RNA 1777. NCBI's taxonomy places the organism in Eukaryota, Metazoa, Chordata, Mammalia, Primates, Hominidae. The record is from Ensembl.
GCCAUUAUGCCUCUUACUGGGCAUGCUUGAGCCCACGGGCCCAACUCCUGAGAUCCCAUUCGGAAGCUGCUGAUCACCAGUUUCAAGUGUUUCUGUUUAUUGGGAGACUGCCUUCCUCUGGCACUGGCAGUGACCAAUUAUUAUUUUAGAGAGACUGUUAACGGCCUGACCAUCACCUGAUGAAUAUCAGGAAUGUGGCCUGACAUUCCUGGUACACGGAGCGCCUUCUUUUCGUUUAGAGCAUUGGUGUCUCCACAUUAGAAGCAUCCUAUGUAGCUGUUCUGCUUGCAGCUGCCCAAGUCUGCCUGGGCCUCCUGCAUGAGGUCAUGAGUCUUAAUAAAGCCACUGACCCACACAUUUGGAAUCGUACUGACUUUUCACAACUAACAGCCAACACAUUGCCAAGAAGCAAUUCAAUUGUUGAGGAUAUCACAUCAUGCCAGGGAAAGAGAGAUGGAAUUCAGAAAGCCUGGGAUAUUGCAGGGCAUUAGUUCUCGGCGAGAUAUAUGGGGUUGGAGAGGACAGGAGCCAGAAGCUCCCAGUGCAGCAGCAAGGCUGGCCCACGUGAGCACCUGGAGCAUCAUUUCUGCUGCCACAUGCUUGGGCUGCCCCACCCCGCCGUGCCCUGCUCAGCCGUGCCCUGCUCCAUCUCCCUCGCCAGGCCUGAGACCGGCCCCCAGUGUGUUGUGACUCCUGAGGUCUCUCAGCUCUCCCUCAACCCCCAGGAGAAUUGCUCUCCACUCCAGAAGCCGCCUGAUGGGGAGGCUGACCCCUCUCCAGGACUGACUGAUCCAGGUUUAUCCUGACAGUAACCUCUCCCCAGGUCGGAAGACCUCUCAGGCUCUGUUUCUAGGGAGGCUGACCUGCUGACAAUGCUCCUAGCUGGAUUUUGUAAGCGGUCUUGAAUAAAGUCUUCCUCACUGUUUUAACAAGAGACAAGGUAAUGUUCAUUGAACAUCUUAUACAAAGAGGAAACCUGGCACAGAAGUGGACAUGCACUCGGAGGGAAAAUGCCAAGUGACAAUGAAGGCAGAGAUCAGGUGAUGCAUCUGCAAGCUGAGCAACAUCAGGAAUUGCCAAAAACCACCAGGAGCUGGAGAGGCCUGGGACAGAGCCUCCCACGGAGCCUCAAGGGAGCCAGCCCUGCCCACGCCUUGAUCUUUGACGUCCGACCUCAAGAACUAUGAAAGAACCCAUUUCUGUUGGUGAAGGCUCCCCGUCUGUGGUCCCCUGUCCUGGCAGCCCUAGGAACCUGACCUCUGGUCCCUCUGCAUCCCUGGCAUCACUCUGCCUCCCUCUCUUUUUCUCCAGUGAAUCCAACACACUCUCAGUGAGACAGCCAGGUGGCAAGGGGUUCUCGGAGAAACUCCAGCCGGCCUGCUCGCUGGGCAUGUACACUGGAGUGGAGCCACAGAAGUUCACGGUGUUUGCAGCAGGGAGGAGCCUGGCCACUCCUCUUCCUGGUUGGAACCUGGAAUUUAUUUUGUGAGGCGGGAAGCCUAUACUGGGGAGACUCUUGCUCUGCUGAGUCCCCAUUCCCCCUUUAUUUUCCUUUUUGCCCAAUAAAUCCUAUUAUUCUCAGUCUUCAAA